Long non-coding RNA from Vigna angularis (adzuki bean), 2208 nucleotides. RefSeq lists it as uncharacterized. The record is from RefSeq and is a predicted model, not a curated record. Lineage: Eukaryota; Viridiplantae; Streptophyta; Magnoliopsida; Fabales; Fabaceae. The transcript has 5 exons.
CAGGAUGGAGACAUAAAGCAAGAGAAGAGAAAUUAAAGAACCCUAAUCUUGUUGGGGAGUGAUUAUGCUGCAUAUAUAUAUAGAGAUCAAGAUAGAGGACAACACUAUGCCAAAAAUGGGAGCUUUAUGAGGUUUCAGAGUUCACAAAAAGAGAGAGAAAGAGAACAUGCCAACAUGAGUGUUGUUUAUGAUGUCUGCAUUUCAGCAUGAAAACAAAGGCUCACAAGAAAUAAAUGCAAUAUUGUUGAGAAUCUAUCAGAGGCAACACACCACAGAGGCUGACAGAAGAGAGUGAGCACAUGCUGAUAGUGAUUGUAUGAGGGCAUACAAUUGCAGGUGUGUGCUCACUUCUCUUUCUGUCAGUUUCUUCUUCUUCUUUUUUCGGUGUGUUUUCUUUCAUAUCUCUUCAUAUUUUCUGAUUCUCGGAGCAACUCCCCGCUGUAAUUAACCCUCUUUCAACUUUCAUUCUCUGAUUUUAAAUAUAUGGUUUCUCUUUAUAGUAUAAACUUGAACUGAAACAAAGAAAUAAGUGUGUAUAUAUAUAUAUAUAGUUUGGUGGUUCUUGGAGUUCAGUUUUUUGUGGUAAGCGUGCAGAAACUUGUAUAUGUAUAAUGCAAUGCAACUUUUUUUGUGUUUGAAGUACCACAAUCUCGUUGAUCUUAACUGGUUCUCUUUUAUUCCGUUUAUUUGCUAUAUUGAAAAGCGUGACUUUUUAUGGUACUUUUUCCUUGAUGGUGUAAAACGCAAAAUCCAAAUGGAGGUCUUCGAGGUACGCCUUGUGUCACGGUCUUUCUCUUACUGUUCAUACUUUAACUGAAAACUCUUUUUCCCUUGCUUGCUUUCUCCCUCUGCUACUUGCCGACAGUGUAGAUAUUUUCUCGCCCUCAAUUUUGGUACACACAAAUCAAAGGGUUUCAAAUUAGGAGUUUCAAAGGCUCAGAAAUUAAUCAGAUGUUCCAUCUGUCUCUUGGAAAACAUGCCACUUUGUUUUGUAGCCUUAAUUUUAGGCAAAGACAAAGCCCUGGGAAACUGCAUUAAUUGCCCAGGCACCUGAAUAUGGUAAGAUGUUCUUUGCAUUAUAUGUCUCAUUAAAACUUUAUUUCCUGAGACUAUUUUUGUUUCAGUACUUUGAACUUUGAUUCCAUUAGCACAGAAGUUGGUUUCUGCUGUCAAUAUCUGCAGAUUAGCGAGCUUGAAGCACCGGUCACUCGGCCUUGAUAAUUGUAUAUAUUUUGGUUUCAUGUUCUGCCUGAAAUACACAACAAGCAUUAGUACUCUCUUUGAACGGUUCUGCAACAGAAGAUAUCAGUUUAAAGUGAAUAUGAGAUUAUGUGUUAACUCUUCGUCAUGCAUGAACUCUAUAACCAAAAAAUCCUUUCUUGCUUUGGAUUUAUGGAGGAAUUAAGUACCAAGUUUCUUGUUAACCCAUUGGACCAGAGUCUUUGCAGGUGAAUCUUUCCUUUCGCCAACGAAGAGACCUUCUUCAAACAGAAGGAGUGACCAAAGCACAGAUCUUGUCACCUGUUAAAAGUCCACACUUAAGAUUCGGAUAAGAUCAUUGACGCUCACCAUGGGAUCCAAAUUAAAAAAGAAAUGAAACCAAACACAAUGAACUUCUAAGGAUCAGUGGAGAAAAUGAGAGAAAACUGCAUGAGGUUUCACUUCCUUUUCUGGUUUUACACCGUGAGACGGAUCAAGUGACGGAUAAAGUAAUUAGCAAACAGCUACAUUAAGUGACUGGAAGUUCUGACAAGACACUGAAGUUGUACUCAGGAAUGUGGCAUGGUCUGCUAUGGAGAGCCACCGGAAAACUUGAAUGUUGUAUUCUCUUGGGUGGAUCGAGAAGAGAUCUCGGUUUGAAAAUACAACAUUGGAGAGAGUUGAAAGGAGAACAUGAACAUUUGGUCAGGUCUGAUCUCUAGCAAAUUUGGCAACUCUCAUUUCCAAAACAAACCUAGAGAAUUGUUAGAGCAAAGGGUCGUGUACUUGGGCCGGUGUACAAUUUCAAAUCAAUUUAUAAAGGAACAAAUGUCUCAAUUCCCUAUUUCAAGAUUAUCACAUACCUAUUGUCCUUAUUUAACCAAGUUUUACUCAUUUAUAUACAUAAAUUCAUGACCUUAGUGUCACCAUUUUUGUUCAUAAAUUUAUAAAGUCACUGUUAUAUUUCAUCUUACGAAUUUGAAAAAUUAUUGCAAAACUUAAUACACG